Molecule: ribosomal RNA, 279 nt
Filed under: uncultured bacterium
Lineage: Bacteria
Description: partial 16S ribosomal RNA
Rfam family: Bacterial small subunit ribosomal RNA
Source: RNAcentral
UGCCAGCCGCCGCGGUAAUACGGAGGGUGCAAGCGUUAAUCAGAAUUACUGGGCGUAAAGCGCUCGUAGGCGGCUUGUUAAGUCGGAUGUGAAAGCCCCGGGCUCAACCUGGGAACUGCAUUCGAUACUGGCAGACUAGAGUAUAGUAGAGGCAAGUGGAAUUCCGGGUGUAGCGGUGAAAUGCGUAGAUAUCCGGAGGAACAUCAGUGGCGAAGGCGACUUGCUGGACUAAUACUGACGCUGAGGAGCGAAAGCGUAGGUAGCAAAACGGAUUAGAUA